UACAGAGGGUGCAAGCGUUGUUCGGAAUUACUGGGCGUAAAGGGUGCGCAGGCGGUCUCGUAAGCUGGGUGUGAAAGCCCCGGGCUUAACCUGGGAAUGGCAUUCAGGACUGCGAGGCUUUGAGUGCGGCAGAGGGAGGUGGAAUUCCACGUGUAGCAGUGAAAUGCGUAGAGAUGUGGAGGAACACCGAUGGCGAAGGCAGCCUCCUGGGCCAGCACUGACGCUCAUGCACGAAAGCGUGGGGAGCAAACAGG
RNAcentral lists this ribosomal RNA (254 nucleotides) under uncultured bacterium. Its description in RNAcentral is "partial 16S ribosomal RNA". It matches the Rfam family "Bacterial small subunit ribosomal RNA", at positions 524 to 776 of the family's 1533-position model. The record is from RNAcentral.